This 644-nucleotide ribosomal RNA is filed under the name uncultured Actinomycetes bacterium. RNAcentral's name for it is "bacterial SSU rRNA". It matches the Rfam family "Bacterial small subunit ribosomal RNA", at positions 232 to 885 of the family's 1533-position model. The record is from RNAcentral. Lineage: Bacteria; Bacillati; Actinomycetota; Actinomycetes.
CGCGGCCUAUCAGCUUGUUGGUGAGGUAACGGCCCACCAAGGCGACGACGGGUAGCUGGUCUGAGAGGACGGCCAGCCACACUGGGACUGAGACACGGCCCAGACUCCUACGGGAGGCAGCAGUGGGGAAUAUUGCGCUAAUGCGCGAAAGCGUGACGCAGCGACGCCGCGUGCGGGAUGAAGGCCUUCGGGUCGCAAACCGCUUUCGCCAGGGACGAAGGGGAACUGACGGUACCUGGAGAAGAAGUCCCGGCUAACUACGUGCCAGCAGCCGCGGUAACACGUAGGGGACGAGCGUUGUCCGGAAUCAUUGGGCGUAAAGCGCGCGUAGGCGGCCCGGAAAGUCGGAUGUGAAAACCCGGGGCUCAACCCCGGGCCUGCGUCCGAUACUCCCGGGCUGGAGGCAGGUAGGGGAGAUCGGAAUUCCUGGUGUAGCGGUGAAAUGCGCAGAUAUCAGGAGGAACACCGGUGGCGAAGGCGGAUCUCUGGGCCUGUCCUGACGCUGAGGCGCGAAAGCUAGGGGAGCGAACAGGAUUAGAUACCCUGGUAGUCCUAGCCGUAAACGUUGGGUGCUAGGUGUGGGCGGACAUCGACUCCGUCCGUGCCGAAGCUAACGCAUUAAGCACCCCGCCUGGGGAGUACGG